Molecule: ribosomal RNA, 480 nt
Filed under: uncultured bacterium
Lineage: Bacteria
Description: bacterial SSU rRNA
Rfam family: Bacterial small subunit ribosomal RNA
Source: RNAcentral
GAACGCUGGCGGCAUGCCUUACACAUGCAAGGUCGAACGGCAGCGGACCGUUCGGGUGCCGGCGAGUGGCGAACGGUGAGUAAUAUAUCGGAACGUACCUUCAGGUGGGGGAUAACGUAGCGAAAGUUACGCUAAUACCGCAUAUUCUGUGAGCAGGAAAGCAGGGGAUCGCAAGACCUUGCGCUGAUUGAGCGGCCGAUAUCAGAUUAGCUAGUUGGUGAGGUAAAGGCUCACCAAGGCGACGAUCUGUAGCGGGUCUGAGAGGAUGAUCCGCCACACUGGAACUGAGACACGGUCCAGACUCCUACGGGAGGCAGCAGUGGGGAAUUUUGGACAAUGGGCGCAAGCCUGAUCCAGCCAUGCCGCGUGAGUGAAGAAGGCCUUCGGGUUGUAAAGCUCUUUCGGCCGGGAAGAAAUCGCACAGGUUAAUACCCUGUGUGGAUGACGGUACCGGAAUAAGAAGCACCGGCUAACUACGUG